RNAcentral lists this ribosomal RNA (276 nucleotides) under unidentified marine bacterioplankton. RNAcentral's name for it is "partial 16S ribosomal RNA". It matches the Rfam family "Bacterial small subunit ribosomal RNA", at positions 59 to 339 of the family's 1533-position model. RNAcentral also lists the same sequence under 1 other name. The record is from RNAcentral.
AAGUCGAGCGAUGAAGCACCUUCGGGUGUGAAUUAGCGGCAACGGGUGAGGAACACGUGAGAAAUCUGCCUUCAACACUGGGAUAACUCCGGGAAACCGGGGCUAAUACCGGAUAUGAAAUCUGCGGGCAUCCGCGGAUUUGGAAAGUUUUUCGGUUGAAGAUGAUCUCGCGGCCUAUCAGCUUGUUGGUGAGGUAAUGGCUCACCAAGGCGACGACGGGUAGCCGGCCUGAGAGGGCGACCGGCCACACUGGGACUGAGACACGGCCCAGACUCC